AGUUCAUUCAUGGCUCAGAUUGAACGCUGGCGGAUGCUUUACACAUGCAAGUCGAACGGCAGCACGGACUUCGGUCUGGUGGCGAGUGGCGAAUCGGGUGAGUAAUGUAUCGGAACGCCUAUAGCGGGGGAUAACUACGCGAAAGCGUGAAGCAAUACCGGCAUACGUCUUCAAAGCGCUGUAACUUUCGGCCUGCACUAUUAGAGCGGCCGAUAUCGGAUUAGCCAGCUAUGGCAACGGCCUCACCGCGACGAUCCGUGGCUGGUCGAGAGGACGACCAGCCACACUGGGACUGAGACACGGCCCAGACUUUGCCGGGAGGCAGCGGGGAAUUUUGGACAAUGGGGAAACCCUGAUCCAGCCAUCCUCUGGCGUAAAGGGAUGAAGGCCUUGGUUAUAAAGCACUUUUGGCAGGAAAGGAACGGCACGGGAUAAUACCCUGUGCAACUGACGGUACCCGCAGAAUAAGCACCGGCUAACACGUGCCAGCAGCCGUGGUAAUACGUAGGGAAAAUGCAAGCGUUAAUCUGAAUUACUGGGCGAAAGCGUGCGCAGGCGGUUCGAAAAGAAAGAUGUGAAAUCCCAGAGCUUAACUGGAACUGCAUUUUUAAUCAUCGAGCUAGAGGCGUCGAGGGAGGUGGAAUUCCGCGUGUAGCAGUGAAAUGCGUAGAUAUGCGGAGGAACGACCGAUGGCGAAGGCAGCCUCCUGGGAUAACACUGACGGCUCAUGCACGAAAGCGCGGGAGCAAACAGGAUUAGGAUACCCCAGGUCCACGCCCAAACGAUGUCAACUAGCUGUCAGCUCGGGCCGGUAGCGCAGCUAACGCGUGAAGUUGACCGCCUGGGGAGUACGGUCGCAAGAUUGUGAAACUCAAAGGAAUUGACGGGUAUCCGCACAAGCGGCGGAUGAUGUGGAUUAAUUCUACGCAACGCGAAAAACCUUACCUACCCUUGACAUGUCUGGAAUCCCGAAGAGAUCUUGGGAGUGCUCGCAAGAGAACCGGAACACAGGUGCUGCAUGGCUGUCGUCAGCUCGUGUCGUGAGAUGUUGGGUUAAGCCCAGCAACGAGCGCAACCCUUGGGUCAUUAGUUGCCACGAAAGGGCACUCACCAGACUGUUGAGACAAACCGGAAAGGAAGGUGGGGAUGACGUCAAGUCCCCAUGGCUCCUUAUGGGUAGGACUUCACACGUCAUACAAUGGUCGGGACAGAGUGGUCGCCAACCCGCGAGGGGGGUCAAUCCCAGAAACCCGAUCGUAGUCCGGAUCGCAGUCUGCAACUCGACUGCGUGAAGUCGGAAUCGCUAGUAAUCGCGGAUCAGCAUGUCGCGCGGUGAAUACGUUCCCGGGUCUGUACACACCGCCCGUCACACCAUGGGAGUAUUUACCAGAAGGGUAGUUAGCCUAACCGUAAGGAGGGCGAUUACCACGGUAGGGAUUCAGACUGGGGUGAAGUCGUAACAAGGUAGCU
Molecule: ribosomal RNA, 1470 nt
Filed under: uncultured Bordetella sp.
Lineage: Bacteria; Pseudomonadati; Pseudomonadota; Betaproteobacteria; Burkholderiales; Alcaligenaceae
Description: partial 16S-23S ribosomal RNA intergenic spacer
Rfam family: Bacterial small subunit ribosomal RNA
Source: RNAcentral